AUUGAUAAAGAAAACUCAUAACAACACUCAAAAUCAAGUCAAAUUCCAACUUUCCCCUGUAAAAGUUAGUGCCUUGAUGAAUUUCCUUAAAAAGAACCUAUUACUAUAGUUUUUGUUGAUUAAUUGAGAGAGUGUUGCCUAUUACGAUAUAGUUGAAAGCCCCUUACAAUAUAGUUGAAAGCCCCUUAAGAUUAUGUUUGAAUUAGUAUGAUGUAGUCAUUCUACUUAAAAUAUUUUUUUUUCUUAUUAAGUCUUUAACAAUACAAAUUCUAUUUGUUCCUAGUCAAGCCUUUACCAUACAAUGAUACAGUCUUCAAAGCACCAUUUUCCUUCUUGCAUUGUGAACGACUUAUACUUCUGUAAAUUUGAUUCAAAAUAAACUGUAAUACUUUUUCAAGCUACCAUGGUGCACUUCAAGAUCAGAAAAUGUCAUAUACAUACCUUUAGAUUGCGGGUCUUAGAAAGGAUCCAAAUGCUAAAGUUAUUUGAAUGAGCGUUAAUUCUCUAGUGACUGGUGCUUUCUCGCUAAUGAGGCAGUCCCUUGACUCUUCGCUUCACCUUUCAGAAUGCUUAACGAAUGAGGCAUUGAAUGUUCUCGAAAGUUUUUGGGACAAAGCAGGAAAAAUGAUGAGAUUUAGAUGAGCAGGAAAUAAUCAAAAUUAUCUAAUUUUUUUUCUACUAAAAAGAGAUAUAUGGUCAAUUAAGAAGAAUCCUUAUCAAGUCAAUAUCUAUAUUUUUUUACUCUACAAUUAGUAUAAUUGAUAUGCUAUUUAUAUUCAGGUAGCAGUAAAGUUUACAUUGCACCCUGUAAUCGAUGUCCUUAAGUUUUAUAUUUUUUGAGAAUUCAUAUACAAUGUCUUAUAUUUGAACAACAAUUUAUUUGUCUGAUUCCUUUCAAACUUUUGAUGAGAGGUUCCAUAGUUUGAAAACAGAUAUCUAAGGUUCUAUGCUUAAUUACUUUUUGUAUUAAGAAACAUGAGUGCAUGGUUACAAAAUUACUGAAAGUUUUUUAAAUUCAAGCUAUCAGUUAGUGUUGUAUUGUUGAAAGUGAAAUGAUCCCACAUCAAUUAUCCAUUCUACUGCUCUUGCACUGCUCUUCUACAUACGCGACAUUUUGAACUUCUUACCGAUAGAAAGAUAUGAAGUGAAAUCCAUGUUCAUAAGAAUUUGAUUUAAUCACAGAAUUGAAUCGGGUCUCAUCCCUUCGAUUCCUCGCUGCAUACUUCAAUGAGAAAGGAAAAGAGCUUUGUUGCGUGCUUCUUCGGGUGUGGUUGCAAAGUUUGAAAAUUGCAUGACAGUGUAAGGGUCGGAGCCAUUGUAUAGAUAAGGUUCAAACUUUUCUUCAAAUUCUUUCCCACAAAGUUAUUUUUGAUUUUGCAAAACAGCCCUGGAAAAAAGAUGAAACAUAAUCUAGUUGAGUAAAAAUCUAUAUGAUUCAUCCAAAAUGUCAUAUAAAGAUAUGUGCUUAAACAACUUGAAAACAGAAUUAAGGUUAGAAUUAAUCCCUUUUUUAGGAAGAUAACAAACAAAGCAUACUUAAAAAGAGAUGAGAUGCUUACUAAUCAGUAACAACUUCGAUGUCCCUUUUUUUCACUUAUUUCCAACACUCUCCAUGUCAGCAAUGGCACAUAGACAACCAACCACAUCGAUAAUAUGAACUGAAAAAAAGUAGUCAUUUCAUAAUUACAUUUGAAUUAAACAAAAUGUAGCAGCAAAGAUUGAUAAUAUUUGUAGUAAUAUUACUUUUCAAUAGUAGAGCUGAAAAAAUUAAUAAGUGAAAGAAAUAGAGAAAGAACUUCAGAUUUGCAACUUAAUCACAUUAAAAAACAGAGAAGGUAUAAUGAAUCAGUAACACAGAAAAUCCAGAUUAACUAAUACUAAUUUAUAUUAUUGAAUACUUGAAUUUAUAAUAAUACUACUUAUCAAUAAUAGAGUUUAACGAAUUAGUAAGACAAACAAACAGAGCAACAACUCCAAAUAUUUCAUUUUCAAUAUAGAGUUGAACGAAUUAAUAAGUCACAUAAGCAAUUACUCCGUAUUUGAAACUUAAUUUAUACUAAUAGUACUUUUAUCGAGUAGAUUUUUCAUUUUCAACAUAGAGUUGAACGAAUUAAUAAGUCAUAUAAACAGAGCAACUACUCCAGAUUUUACUUUUAUUGAGUAAACUUGAAUGAGUUAGUAACUCAAAUACACAAAGCAACAAACUCAAAUUUGCAACUUAAGAAACAUAAAGAUUGUAGCCUUAAAUAUAAAGACUAUAGAUAUGCAAUUUAAUUAUGUGAAGAUGUAUAUUUACACAAACACAAAAUACAAAAAUGGAUAGAGAGUGAACAUUGCUAGCACCAUACAUAACUUUAAUACACAACUGUCUCAAAAUCCUUUCUUUUGGUAGUCAAAACACUACCAAAAGACUUACUUAAAUAUAUUAAUUUGAAAGAAUCUGACAGAAGCUUUGAAUGUCUAGCAAAAACAAAACCUCAACAGUUAAAGUUGUCAUGUAUUGCUUAUAGCUUUCGCAUAACAGAAAAGUGUAGUGUAACAUGAAAAUUUAUCAUUUGAUGGUUAAUCAGUAAAUAAAGAUUGAUUUAAAAAAGCAAACAGAGAUAUGUUGGGGUGAAGUUAUUGCAGAGAAUCAUCUGUAAUCCUAAUUAUCUUUCAUUUUAAGGAAGAAAAAUCAGCGGUCUUUUCCAACCAAAUCAUGAUAUUUGUCAUUCUUCUUGGCUCUUAUUCUCAAGAAAAUAUUUUACCAUACAAUAUAAAAGGACAAUAAAUUUGCCAAAAGAAAAGAAAGAAUAAGGGUAUAAUCACAAAGGAAAAUUGAUACUUCUCAAAUCCUUUCAAAGAGUUGCUUCUGAAAGAUACAAACGUUCAACAACCACUAAGAGAAAAUACUUAUGUAGCAAGCUCAACUUCAAGCAAAACCAUACCUCUCUCCCCGCCUUUAAUAGGGCAAUUAAGCCAUGUUGUGCAGAGAGGAAAAGAAAUAAUAAUCUCACGAUGAAAAAAAAAUGUCUACUUGAUGAAACUUUAAAAUUCAAGAUUUAUUGGCAAAGAUGAAAAUCACAAAAUUAAAGGUGGUCAAAUGAAAUGAACAUGGCCAUACAGAUGAAAGUAUAAAAAGUUGUUCAGUCAUGAAGUAAGUUGUACAUUCCUCAAGAUGACUGACAUAAUCACUAUUUCUUGCAUAAACUAUAGCCGCAUCAUGAGGUUUUGUUAUCAUAUCCUCAUCCUCUUCAGAGUCAUUGUCCUGAAAGAAGAAGUCCAGCAAUGAGCCAAAAAAGAAGAAACGGGGAAAAAGAAAGUGCAAAUAACAUAGAAGAGGUGUGAUUCUGCACAUUAAAUUAAUUGAAUUUAGUCAGUACAUGCUACAGAUACUUUCCUUUUGCUUAAAUGAUGACUAUUAUUUUCAACUAUCUACAAUCUUUAGAACCCAAAGGCAAGUAAAAAUCAAGAAAGAAGAAGAACUUUAAUCUAUGAGAAAGUGAUACACUUUAGGAAUUGAAUAGCACUACUAACGUCACAAAUUCUUUUGGAAACUAAAUUUCAGGAUUGUGGAAAAUUAAUGCAUAAACACAAUAGAGAAGAAGAACAUUAAAAAUAAGUGAAAUUAAAGAACGAAUAUGUUACCCUUGCAUCUUGUAAGAUCAAUUCUAUGAAAUAUGGUAUUUUAGGCUUGAAGCAAUCCGGAAUUUCCCAUAACUUUCAAAUUUCAUUGCCUCGAGUUGCUUGAAAUUGUCGGAUUUCAUGAACUGGUGUAGCCACCUUUACAAACUCAAAAUAAGAGAAACCACAUACUAUUGUUGAAUCAACUUGGGAAUACUAUUGUUAGCAGAAAACAUGGAAUAGAAAGGGAAAGAAGAAACCACAUAAAGCAUUAAUUACCGUAGAUUCAAAGCAGUUAUGGUUGCUGUAGAUAAAAAACAGUUAGGUUAGGAUUGUUGAUG
This 3944-nucleotide long non-coding RNA is filed under the name Nicotiana tabacum (common tobacco). RNAcentral's name for it is "long non-coding RNA (NTAB_LNC015166)". Lineage: Eukaryota; Viridiplantae; Streptophyta; Magnoliopsida; Solanales; Solanaceae. The record is from RNAcentral.